RNAcentral lists this unclassified non-coding RNA (203 nucleotides) under uncultured fungus. Its description in RNAcentral is "sequence contains ITS1, 5.8S rRNA gene". The record is from RNAcentral. Lineage: Eukaryota; Fungi.
ACGAGUUAGGGUCCUUUACGGCCCGACCUCCCAACCCUUUGUCUACCAAACCAUUUUUGUUGCUUCGGCGGGCCCGUCUUCACGGACCGCCGGGGGACCGCCGAGAGGCGUCCUCUGGCCCGCGCCCGCCGGUGGCCGACACCAAAACUCUUGAAACAAAUCGUGUCCUUCUAAGUACCUUGAUUUAAUCAAACAAAAAAGCA